Molecule: ribosomal RNA, 253 nt
Filed under: uncultured bacterium
Lineage: Bacteria
Description: partial 16S ribosomal RNA
Rfam family: Bacterial small subunit ribosomal RNA
Source: RNAcentral
UACAGAGGUGGCAAGCGUUGUUCGGAAUUACUGGGCGUAAAGGGCGCGUAGGCGGCUUGGUCAGUCCCGUGUGAAAUCCCUCGGCUCAACUGAGGAACUGCACGGGAAACUGCCUGGCUUGAGUUCUGGAGAGGGAAGCGGAAUUCCGGGUGUAGCGGUGAAAUGCGUAGAUAUCCGGAGGAACACCGGUGGCGAAGGCGGCUUCCUGGACCGACACUGACGCUGAGGCGCGAAAGCUAGGGGAGCAAACGGG